GUAAUACCCAGAGGAGUACAAGACACACCAAAACACAUUGCCUCUUCAUUUCCUUUCAGGUUGGGAUACUAGGAGCAUCCAACUUGACCUUCUCAGAGCUAUGAAGACCAUAUACUUUUUCUAUAUUGUGUUUGCUCUGCUACUCAUUCCCAAACCAGGAUUCACUGAUGUGUCAGAUGAAGAAUCAUGCCUGUAUGGCGAUGCGGCAGGACACUGUGUGUUGAAGGAAUGUCCUUAUCACUAUGCAGACAUUGGAAGUUGUGGUGGAAACAUUCGUUGCUGUUAUAACGGUAAUGAUCCUGUAAGAAAUGAAAGGCAAUGUAAGAGGCUCAAUGGGUCUUGUUUCGAAUCCCGAUGUCGUCAUCAAUCUUAUUCUAUAGGAAAAUGUGCAGCGAAUGUUGAAUGUUGCCA
Molecule: long non-coding RNA, 411 nt
Organism: Lacerta agilis (Sand lizard)
Lineage: Eukaryota; Metazoa; Chordata; Lepidosauria; Squamata; Lacertidae
Exons: 3
Source: RefSeq, a predicted model, not a curated record